Molecule: ribosomal RNA, 989 nt
Filed under: Bacillus velezensis
Lineage: Bacteria; Bacillati; Bacillota; Bacilli; Caryophanales; Bacillaceae
Description: bacterial SSU rRNA
Rfam family: Bacterial small subunit ribosomal RNA
Source: RNAcentral
GGGGUGACGUUAUCCGGACUUUUGCGGCGUAAGGGCUCGCAGGCGGUUUCUUAAGUCUGAUGUGAAAGCCCCCGGCUCAACCGGGGAGGGUCAUUGGAAACUGGGGAACUUGAGUGCAGAAGAGGAGAGUGGAAUUCCACGUGUAGCGGUGAAAUGCGUAGAGAUGUGGAGGAACACCAGUGGCGAAGGCGACUCUCUGGUCUGUAACUGACGCUGAGGAGCGAAAGCGUGGGGAGCGAACAGGAUUAGAUACCCUGGUAGUCCACGCCGUAAACGAUGAGUGCUAAGUGUUAGGGGGUUUCCGCCCCUUAGUGCUGCAGCUAACGCAUUAAGCACUCCGCCUGGGGAGUACGGUCGCAAGACUGAAACUCAAAGGAAUUGACGGGGGCCCGCACAAGCGGUGGAGCAUGUGGUUUAAUUCGAAGCAACGCGAAGAACCUUACCAGGUCUUGACAUCCUCUGACAAUCCUAGAGAUAGGACGUCCCCUUCGGGGGCAGAGUGACAGGUGGUGCAUGGUUGUCGUCAGCUCGUGUCGUGAGAUGUUGGGUUAAGUCCCGCAACGAGCGCAACCCUUGAUCUUAGUUGCCAGCAUUCAGUUGGGCACUCUAAGGUGACUGCCGGUGACAAACCGGAGGAAGGUGGGGAUGACGUCAAAUCAUCAUGCCCCUUAUGACCUGGGCUACACACGUGCUACAAUGGGCAGAACAAAGGGCAGCGAAACCGCGAGGUUAAGCCAAUCCCACAAAUCUGUUCUCAGUUCGGAUCGCAGUCUGCAACUCGACUGCGUGAAGCUGGAAUCGCUAGUAAUCGCGGAUCAGCAUGCCCGGUGGAAUACCGUUCCCCGGGCCUUGUACACACCGCCCGUCACACCACGAGAGUUUGUAACACCCGAAGUCGGUGAGGUAACCUUUUAGGAGCCAGCCGCCGAAGGUGGGACAGAUGAUUGGGUGAUCACAGGGGGACACCCCCACACACAAAAAAAAAAUGG